GACGAAUGCUGGCGGCGUGCCUAAUACAUGCAAGUUGAGCGAUGAAGAUCGGGGCUUGCACCAAUUUGAAGAGCAGCGAACGGGUGAGUAACGCGUGGGGAAUCUGCCUUUGAGCGGGGGACAACAUUUGGAAACGAAUGCUAAUACCGCAUAACAACUUUAAACAUAAGUUUUAAGUUUGAAAGAUGCAAUUGCAUCACUCAAAGAUGAUCCCGCGUUGUAAUAGCUAGUUGGUGAGGUAAAGGCUCACCAAGGCGAUGAUACAUAGCCGACAUGAGAGGGUGAUCGGCCAGAUUGGGACUGAGACACGGCCCAAACUCCUACGGGAGGCAGCAGUAGGGAAUCUUCGGCAAUGGACGAAAGUCUGACCGAGCAACGCCGCGUGAGUGAAGAAGGUUUUCGGAUCGUAAAACUCUGUUGGUAGAGAAGAACGUUGGUGAGAGUGGAAAGCUCAUCAAGUGACGGUAACUACCCAGAAAGGGACGGCUAACUACGUGCCAGCCGCCGCGGUAA
RNAcentral lists this ribosomal RNA (513 nucleotides) under uncultured bacterium. RNAcentral describes it as "partial 16S ribosomal RNA". It matches the Rfam family "Bacterial small subunit ribosomal RNA", at positions 28 to 523 of the family's 1533-position model. The record is from RNAcentral.